Molecule: RNA transcript, 1986 nt
Organism: Triticum dicoccoides
Lineage: Eukaryota; Viridiplantae; Streptophyta; Magnoliopsida; Poales; Poaceae
Exons: 3
Source: RefSeq, a predicted model, not a curated record
GUCACUUUCCCCCUCUGGUCGAGGGUUUCCUCUGCCCUGUUACGUUCCCCACUCCAAUCCAAUGGCGACGACCAGCAACAAGAAAAUGGCGUCGCCGUCGCCUAUGACGGACAUGCCCGACCAGCUCCUCGCCGAGAUCUUCCUCCGGCUGCCCACCCCACAAGACCUCGCCCGCGCCUCCGCCGUCUGCCUCACCUUCCGCCGAAUCUCCACCGACAGGUCCUUCCUCCGCUGCUUCCGCUGCCUCCACGCACCACCACUUCUCGGAUUCCUCGACCGCGACGGCUUCCACCCAGCCCUAACCUCCACCCCCGCCGUUCGCGCGGCCGCCGUCGCCGCCGAUUUCACCUUAUCCUUCCUCCCCUACCACCGCCGCUGGACCGUGCAGGACGUCCGCGACGGCCGCGUCCUCCUCUGCCGCAGCAUCGGAAAACAUGGGCAGCCCCCGGUCUUCAGAGAUCUCGCGGUGUGCGACCCCUUGCACCGGCGCUACGUCCUGCUCCCCCCGCUACCUCACGACCUGGCUGCUUUGCUUGGGCACCCUUUCCCCCCGGUAACCGAGGCCUGCUGCAAGCGCUUCCUCGUUCCCCUCGGUGAGGAGGAGGCAGCGGCUGGAGACACAACAUUCAUAGUCAUCUUGAUGGCAUAUUGCAAAACCAGUCUGGCUGCCUUUGUCUUCUCUUCCAGCAACGAUCAAUGGCAAGCUACUGCAUCCAAGGAUUUGAGUGAUUUGGCCCUUGACGAGGGCGACAUGGAGGAGAUGUCAAGGGUCCAGCCUUUUAUUCCCAUGCGCCAUUAUGCUUAUGGCUGUUUCUACUGGGACUGGGUGCAAUUCGGGAUGAAGAAGUUGCUCUUGCUUGACACCACGAACAUGGAGUUCUCCACUCCUGACCUCCCACCAGGAGAAUGGAGCAAGGAAGGUAUAGCCAUUGUGGAGGCAGGGGAAGGCAGGCUCGGGAUCUUUGGUUUCCAUGGUGGACUUGCAUCCAAUCUCAGCUAUACAGCUGUACGGACCAAAGACGAGAGUCCCAGCCAGUGGCAGAUGGAGAAGACAAUCUCACUAGAUUCUGGCUACAAAUAUUGUAUCAGAGACGCAACACAGAGGUACUUGCUCUUGACAAGGAUAGAAGCAUCAUCUCCAAAUAAUCACCUUGUUGGAUAUUUCUCAAUGGAUAUCAAGACGUUGCAGCUUCAGAGGGUUUAUGAGAAACAGCACUAUAAGUAUCCGACAUACGCAUAUAUCAACUUCCCACCAUCAUUGUUGUCUUCAAGGAGAAUAUGAAGUGUCAUUGUCUCCACCACUGUUAGAUCCUCAGUAUCAUGGUUGUGCUCUGAAUCUCCAAGCAAAUCAUAUUGGUUGAGAUGAUUGACUGAAACUUAGAGUUGUCAGGUUUGACAGAGCCAUACCCAUACGUAAUCAUAUCAGCAUUCUUAAUUCAAAGCGACCAUGGUUUCAACAGCUUGGAGUUCUCACAUACGUGAUCACUUUGCCUACAAAACAACACGAUCUACAUUGCCUUGCUUGGUGGUGGCCAUGUCAAUGUUUUGGUUAUUAGGUCUAACAUCAAUGUGGAAUUUCCCUGCCUAAGAAUGUGACUUUGAUAUUAGGAGUUCAAGUCAAUUUUUCUUCUUCAUUAUUUGUUAGAGUUGCUAAAACAGGUACAAUCUGACUAGUGGCAGAACGAUCACAACGGAACUGAUAACCAACAUAAGGACAAUAUAAGCAGCACCAGCAUGCAGUUGGAGGGACUCGGUUCUUUGUUGCUGCUGCUGCUGUACGGUGAAGGGUAGGCAGCAAAAUAGGUUUGUAGAGCUGUAGAAAGAGGUGAGUGGAAGUCCUAAAUGGUGCUCAUGUUUGGAUCGCCGAAGUACCGAUAAUUUGUGAAAUCUUGAAUAUGCUGUAUGAUCUUGAAUACUGAGUGGACAAUUUUCUCUGCUGUAUGAUCUUUUGUCCCUUUUUCUUCAGAUUUGAUGGAGCUGUAAUCA